Molecule: long non-coding RNA, 721 nt
Organism: Vombatus ursinus (common wombat)
Lineage: Eukaryota; Metazoa; Chordata; Mammalia; Diprotodontia; Vombatidae
Exons: 3
Source: RefSeq, a predicted model, not a curated record
UCCCUCCCCUCCCCUGGUUGGGCGCGCGGAGGCACUAGCACUCUCGCCUGGGCUUCGCGCCGAAGCUGAGUGCCAGGGGGAUGGAUGCCUUACUGCGCGGGCAUCGACAUUUUCCUCUCUCUUAUUCCAACCCGUGUAUACCAAGCAGCUUGGAAUGAGGAACCGGACUCCGGGGAGCCCCACGUGAUGCCUGGGCUGAAAGGCACCUCUCUCCUGGCCUCUGAACCACCAAACUGGUUUUCCAAGCCCGGCUGAGAUGUCGUUAACCAGUUGAGACUCCUGGAAAGGCAAGUGGCUGUUAUCUAUGCUCAAAGUGCAGGCUGGUCUCCCUCCUAGGAGAUAAGGUGAAGAGGCUCAAGGAGCACCUCUUCACACUCCAGAACAAUAUUAAUGGAAAGAACAAUGACAACAAUUGAAGCUGAAGGCCAUGAAUUUCUAAUGACGGGACUCCUUUCCAAAGAAGAGAAUGCAUCUUGCCUCCCUUCUUUGCCGAAGUGGAGGUCUAUGUUUGGGGAACAUUGAAUAUACUCUUGGAUUUGAUUGCUAUGUUAGUUUUGCUGAACUGCUUCUGUCACUGCUCCCCCCUUUCUGUUUAAUUCUUUGUUAUAAAGGAUGACUCUGGGCAUGAAAAGGGGAAGGGUAUAUUGGGAAAGGAAAGUGAUAUAAAAACAAAGAACAUUUUUUUAAAAAAAAGAAAAUGUUGCUCAAGAAGACAUACUAC